Panus rudis PR-1116 ss-1 is the source of this 77-nucleotide non-coding RNA. The record is from the annotation of a GenBank genome assembly. Lineage: Eukaryota; Fungi; Basidiomycota; Agaricomycetes; Polyporales; Panaceae.
GGCCUGAUGGCCUAGUGGUUAGAGCUCUGCUUGACAGUGCAGUCUGGAGACCCUGGGUUCAAUUCCUGAUGGUGCCA